Molecule: long non-coding RNA, 564 nt
Filed under: Monodelphis domestica (gray short-tailed opossum)
Lineage: Eukaryota; Metazoa; Chordata; Mammalia; Didelphimorphia; Didelphidae
Description: lncRNA (ENSMODG00000041909.1)
Source: RNAcentral
CCUUGCUGUUAAUUCUGUGUUUGAUGCCUCUACCCCUAUUAGGAAAAUACAGUUGCUUUAAGUUUGUUACAGAACUGACCCAUUAUUAACAUUUUCCUAAUCCAUACUAGCCAACCCAACUUUCUGUUGUAGAGAACAUCAGUGAAUGAAUGGAGGAAUCUCUAGCUUCAAAUACAUCUGCAAGCUUAUGAAGACAGUAAAGGACACAUUUAGAGGAGGAUGCCAGUGUGAAGGAGUAGCUUCCAUUUCUGAAAGGACAUCUGACUCACAUACACCUGACUGACAUAGAAGGCAAGAAGAUCACCAAGUGACUCGUUUGCCCCUAUGUCCAAGGAGGUCAGGGUGAUUGGGAGAUUUUAUCAUCUGUCCUCACCACUCCACAGUCCAGAGGCUGACGGGGGGCCCAGGCUGUUAUCUUCAAGAUCACAGCACUGAAAAAAAACUCUGAACUUAUCAGCUGGAGCAUGAAUAAGGUUAGGAUGUGCAUGGAGGUAGAAGACUGAAAACAGAGACCUAAUUUGAUGGAAAAAGAGAUGAAAAUAAAUACAAGAGAGCGUGUUCUCA